AGUUUGUUUAUUUAUAGUCUGGCCUGCCCACUGAGAUUUAAAGGGCCGCGGUAAUUUGACCGUGCGAAGGUAGCAUAAUCAUUAGUUUUUUAAUUGAAGGCUUGAAUGAACGGUUGGACGAAGAAUUAGCUGUCUUUUUAUUAUUUUGAAUUUAACUUUUAAGUGAAAAGGCUUAAAUUAAUUAGAGGGACGAUAAGACCCUAUAAAACUUUAUAUACUUCUGUCAUAAUAUAGUAAUUUGGUUUAAAUUUGUUUUGGUUGGGUUAUAUUUUGUUGGGGCGACAUUUAUAUAAUUUGUAACUGUUUUGUUAAUUUAAUAAUUAUAAUUAGGUUUUGAUCCUUUAUUAAAGAUUAAAARAUUAAKUUACUUUAGGGAUAACAGCGUAAUUUUCUCUGAGAGUUCUUAUCGACGARAGUAGUUGCGACCUCGAUGUUGAAUUAAAAUUUCAGAUUGGUGUAGCCACUUUUCUGGUGGGUCUGUUCGACCUUUAAAAUUUUACGUGAUCUGAGUUCAGACCGGGUCAUASCUGUUU
This 533-nucleotide ribosomal RNA is filed under the name Conchodytes nipponensis. Its description in RNAcentral is "partial large subunit ribosomal RNA". Lineage: Eukaryota; Metazoa; Arthropoda; Malacostraca; Decapoda; Palaemonidae. The record is from RNAcentral.